Molecule: long non-coding RNA, 302 nt
Filed under: Homo sapiens (human)
Lineage: Eukaryota; Metazoa; Chordata; Mammalia; Primates; Hominidae
Description: HSALNT0356464
Source: RNAcentral
GUUCCCAGAGCCCACUGAAGUCACCCUUCAGCCCUCAUCUUUGUGCUGCACCGCCUUUUGGGGAUACCAGUUUUAUGGGAUCAACGUUCCACUCUUUUGACCUCAUUUAACCGUAACCAUCUCCUGAAAGGCCCCCUUUCCAACACAGCCACAUGAGGGGUCACGGCUUCAACUUAUGAAUUUGGGGCAGGACACAAUUCAGUCUAUAGAAGUGACUGCAGAAUAUAAUGACGUGAUAGCCUGAUGGCCAUUGCUCCUCUAAUCGCUGGAACUGGUGAGUAACAGUGGUUAUUUGUUUGAGG